AGUGAACGCUGGCGGUAGGCCUAACACAUGCAAGUCGAACGGCAGCACAGUAAGAGCUUGCUCUUACGGGUGGCGAGUGGCGGACGGGUGAGGAAUACAUCGGAAUCUACUUUUUCGUGGGGGAUAACGUAGGGAAACUUACGCUAAUACCGCAUACGACCUACGGGUGAAAGCAGGGGAUCUUCGGACCUUGCGCGAUUGAAUGAGCCGAUGUCGGAUUAGCUAGUUGGCGGGGUAAAGGCCCACCAAGGCGACGAUCCGUAGCUGGUCUGAGAGGAUGAUCAGCCACACUGGAACUGAGACACGGUCCAGACUCCUACGGGAGGCAGCAGUGGGGAAUAUUGGACAAUGGGCGCAAGCCUGAUCCAGCCAUACCGCGUGGGUGAAGAAGGACUUCGGGUUGUAAAGCCAUUUUGUUGGGAAAGAAAAGCAGCAGGUUAAUACCCCGCUGUUCUGACGGUACCCAAAGAAUAAGCACCGGCUAACUUCGUG
This 492-nucleotide ribosomal RNA is filed under the name uncultured bacterium. Its description in RNAcentral is "partial 16S ribosomal RNA". It matches the Rfam family "Bacterial small subunit ribosomal RNA", at positions 29 to 507 of the family's 1533-position model. The record is from RNAcentral.